GGCUACACACGUGCUACAAUGGGUAGAACAGAGAGUUGCAAAGUCGUGAGGUGAAGCUAAUCUCAGAAAACUAUUCUUAGUUCGGAUUGUACUCUGCAACUCGAGUACAUGAAGUUGGAAUCGCUAGUAAUCGCGAAUCAGCAAUGUCGCGGUGAAUACGUUCUCGGGUCUUGUACACACCGCCCGUCACACCACGAGAGUUGGUUGCACCUGAAGUAGCAGGCCUAACCGUAAGGAGGGAUGCUCCGAGGGUGUGAUUAGCGAUUGGGGUGAAGUCGUAACAAGGUAUCCGUACGGGAACGU
RNAcentral lists this ribosomal RNA (303 nucleotides) under uncultured Fusobacterium sp. RNAcentral describes it as "bacterial SSU rRNA". It matches the Rfam family "Bacterial small subunit ribosomal RNA", at positions 1212 to 1513 of the family's 1533-position model. The record is from RNAcentral. Lineage: Bacteria; Fusobacteriati; Fusobacteriota; Fusobacteriia; Fusobacteriales; Fusobacteriaceae.